CGCCUGUUUACCAAAAACAUCGCCCUCUGAUAAAACAAACAUGGAGGGUCCUGCCUGCCCGGUGACCAAAAGUUAAACGGCCGCGGUAUCUUGACCGUGCGAAGGUAGCAUAAUCAUUUGUCUUCUAAAUAGAGACUGGCAUGAAUGGCAAGACGGGGCUCUACUGUCUUCUUAUUUUCUCCCUGAAAUUCACAUCUUCGUGAAGAGGCGAAGAUUAAUUCGUUAGACGAGAAGACCCUGUCGAGCUUAAGUGAAACUGAAGACCUUAUCUUCCUUUUUUACAUUUCUAAUAACUAUAAAUUUAAUUUUGCUGACUAAGGCAAACUGUUCUUCAACUAACUUUGGUUGGGGCAACCACGGAGAAAGAACAUCCUCCGCUACCAUAACUAUUUUUAAGGAAAACAAUUCUAAAAUUUACUAAAAAUGAUCCACUCAGGUGAUCAAAGGAAAAAGUUACCGUAGGGAUAACAGCGUAAUCUUUUUUGAGAGUCCAUAUUGACAAAAAGGUUUGCGACCUCGAUGUUGGAUCGGGACAUCCUAAAAGUGCAGAAGCUUUUAAGGGUUGGUCUGUUCGACCAUUAAAGUCCUACGUGAUCUGAGUUCAGACCGGCGAUAGCCAGGUCAGUUUCUAUCUACGA
Molecule: ribosomal RNA, 638 nt
Filed under: Centrostephanus longispinus
Lineage: Eukaryota; Metazoa; Echinodermata; Echinoidea; Diadematoida; Diadematidae
Description: partial 16S large subunit ribosomal RNA
Rfam family: Bacterial large subunit ribosomal RNA
Source: RNAcentral